GCGGGUAUAGUCUAGUGGUAAGAUGGAUGCUUCCCAAGCAUCAGUCGCGGGUUCGAUUCCCGCUACCCGCUCCA
Molecule: transfer RNA, 74 nt
Filed under: Patescibacteria group bacterium
Lineage: Bacteria
Description: tRNA-Gly
Rfam family: tRNA
About the family: Transfer RNA (tRNA) molecules are approximately 80 nucleotides in length.
Source: RNAcentral